This 485-nucleotide ribosomal RNA is filed under the name uncultured bacterium. Its description in RNAcentral is "partial 16S ribosomal RNA". It matches the Rfam family "Bacterial small subunit ribosomal RNA", at positions 29 to 523 of the family's 1533-position model. The record is from RNAcentral.
AGUGAACGCUGGCGGCGUGCUUAACACAUGCAAGUCGAACGAGAACGGGAUAUAGCUUGCUAUAUUUGUCAGCUAAGUGGCGCACGGGUGAGUAAUGUAUAGAUAACCUGCCCUCUAGAAAGGAAUAACAGUUGGAAACGACUGCUAAUGCCCUAUAUGCCUUUAAUACAUAAGUAUGCAAGGGAAACGCUUUAGUGCUAGAGGAUGGGUCUGUAUGGUAUCAGCUUGUUUGUGUGGUAAUGGCUCACCAAGGCUGUGACGCCUCACUGGUUUGGGAGGAUGAUCAGUCACACUGGAACUGAGACACGGUCCAUACUCCUACGGGAGGCAGCAUGGGGGAAUAUUGCACAAUGGACGAAAGUCUGAUGCAGCAACGCCGCUGGGAGUAUGACACAUUUCGGUGCGUAAACUCCUUUUAUAUAGGAAGAUAAUGACGGUACUAUAUGAAUAAGCACCGGCUAUCUCCGUGCCAGCAGCCGCCGUAA